Potamilus streckersoni is the source of this 72-nucleotide non-coding RNA. NCBI's taxonomy places the organism in Eukaryota, Metazoa, Mollusca, Bivalvia, Unionida, Unionidae. The record is from the annotation of a GenBank genome assembly.
GGUGCGGUAGCCAAGUGGUAAGGCAGAAGUCUGCAAAACUUUUAUUCGUGAGUUCGAAUCUCUCCCGCACCU